ACGGAGAUGCAGUAACAAGGAACUUCACAUAUGCGUUUGUUCCGUAAUUAUUACUAUCCGUUCUCUGUUCCCCUACCUACGCAAUUUCGUAUCGUUUCUAUAACGCAUUCUACGAUACGCGAGAAGAAUUACUCGCGCCACACGAAAACUUCAUUCUCAUUGGCCGUUGAAAUCUGGCGCGUGCUUUAUUGACCAAUCCCUCCAAAGUUUAAAUAAUUCAAUCGACGAUGAUUAUUGGCGGAGUUCUUUCGAGUACAUACGAUGCAUUUAUAAAAAGUGCACUCGAACGUUUAUGAAUAAUAACGAAUUAUUUGUCAACGGUUACGUAAAAAUGCGUAAAUUUUAAUAAAAACAAAAUUUCUCAAGGAUAAUGGUUGCAUGUUUGACGAUCAUUUUUGAUCUUAAAUCAACUUCCUUGCACGGAAUACUUAAGACACGCGAUCUUAAGCGUAAGUAUUCGACGAUUAGAACUUAUGAAGACGUUAAUGAGAUCUUUCGUCAAUUGUACUGAUGUCAAGGACAAGCGGCCAUUGAUGGUACAUGGUUCACCUGUAUUCUGCAAUAAUGUUGUAAUUUUAGCAUAAAUAUUUAAAGAUUCAGUUAUAUAAAGAAGGACAAGUGGGUAUUGUUGUUGGACUACCGGCGUUCUGCGUCAAUUCUGUGAUAACUAGAAGAAGGCACGUAACGGUCGAUAACAACGACGCGGUUUAAAACGGGCCGACGUGGCAGCGGCACGUAUUUUCGUCCACGAAAUGCCAAGAAGACGAGUUCGAGAGCCCGUACCGAUCACCGGAUGUUAUCAGCGUACAUAUAUGUACUACUUAUGUAUAUAUGUACACAAUGGUUGAAAGUAACUUGAUCAGUGCAAAUUCCGCGAUUGUUGUUUUACUACCAAUAACAUAGAUAUACACAAAUUAUAUAUUUAUAUGGAUGCAUGUAUUGUAAAUGAAUGAUCCGAUAAAUGUAAACAUAAGAUAUACAUACAUAUUAUCAAGAAACAUGUAACUCUAUUGUUAAUAAAAUACUCUAUAUAGAUAGGAAGAAACGUGCGCACAUGUACAAUGAUUUGGAGUAGGGCAAGUAGU
Long non-coding RNA from Polistes canadensis, 1085 nucleotides. RefSeq lists it as uncharacterized. The transcript is spliced from 3 exons. NCBI's taxonomy places the organism in Eukaryota, Metazoa, Arthropoda, Insecta, Hymenoptera, Vespidae. The record is from RefSeq and is a predicted model, not a curated record.